Molecule: ribosomal RNA, 498 nt
Filed under: uncultured bacterium
Lineage: Bacteria
Description: bacterial SSU rRNA
Rfam family: Bacterial small subunit ribosomal RNA
Source: RNAcentral
AUUGAACGCUGGCGGCAUGCCUUACACAUGCAAGUCGAACGGCAGCGCGGGAGCAAUCCUGGCGGCGAGUGGCGAACGGGUGAGUAAUAUAUCGGAACGUGCCCAGUAGUGGGGGAUAGCCCGGCGAAAGCCGGAUUAAUACCGCAUGAGACCUGAGGGUGAAAGCGGGGGAUCGCAAGACCUCGCGCUAUUGGAGCGGCCGAUAUCAGAUUAGCUAGUUGGUGGGGUAAAGGCCUACCAAGGCAACGAUCUGUAGUUGGUCUGAGAGGACGACCAGCCACACUGGGACUGAGACACGGCCCAGACUCCUACGGGAGGCAGCAGUGGGGAAUAUUGGACAAUGGGGGCAACCCUGAUCCAGCCAUGCCGCGUGAGUGAAGAAGGCCCUCGGGUUGUAAAGCUCUUUUGUCCGGAAAGAAAAGCAUCUGGUUAAUACCCGGGUGUUCUGACGGUACCGGAAGAAUAAGCACCGGCUAACUUCGUGCCAGCAGCCGCGGU